AACAAACAAUCAAUCAAUCAAAAAGUUACAACAAA
RNAcentral lists this ribosomal RNA (35 nucleotides) under Stygamoeba regulata. RNAcentral describes it as "partial Eukaryotic small subunit ribosomal RNA". Lineage: Eukaryota; Discosea; Stygamoebida. The record is from RNAcentral.